This 75-nucleotide transfer RNA is filed under the name Actinoplanes xinjiangensis. RNAcentral describes it as "tRNA-Arg". It matches the Rfam family "tRNA". Rfam says of the family: Transfer RNA (tRNA) molecules are approximately 80 nucleotides in length. Their secondary structure includes four short double-helical elements and three loops (D, anti-codon, and T loops). Further hydrogen bonds mediate the characteristic L-shaped molecular structure. tRNAs have two regions of fundamental functional importance: the anti-codon, which is responsible for specific mRNA codon recognition, and the 3' end, to which the tRNAs corresponding amino acid is attached (by aminoacyl-tRNA synthetases). tRNAs cope with the degeneracy of the genetic code in two manners: having more than one tRNA (with a specific anti-codon) for a particular amino acid; and 'wobble' base-pairing, i.e. permitting non-standard base-pairing at the 3rd anti-codon position. The record is from RNAcentral. Lineage: Bacteria; Bacillati; Actinomycetota; Actinomycetes; Micromonosporales; Micromonosporaceae.
CCCCUGGUAGCUCAAUCGGAAUCGAGCAGCGCCCUUCUAAGGCGACGGCUGCGGGUUCGAGUCCCGCCCAGGGGC